Long non-coding RNA from Psammomys obesus (fat sand rat), 255 nucleotides. RefSeq lists it as uncharacterized. The record is from RefSeq and is a predicted model, not a curated record. NCBI's taxonomy places the organism in Eukaryota, Metazoa, Chordata, Mammalia, Rodentia, Muridae. The transcript is spliced from 2 exons.
UUCUCCUCCAGACGGCAACUAUGUUGGUCCUCCAGAAGAAUCAUGAGGCUUUUAGUGCUCUGCUUGGUGGAUAAUGUCCAAUCCAGGAAAACUUCUCCAGUUACAGAUGAACUCGAAAGGCCUGACUAGGAUAAGGAUGUGAGCUCUCAGCUUCAGGAUCCUGACACCAUGCCUGCCUCUUGCUACCAUGCUUCCCUGCCUUGAUGAACUCUUACUCCUCUGGAACCGCCAGUCAAAUAAACCGUUCUAGAAACC